UCCUCAUUAAAAAUGUAGCUUCAGAGUCUUCAUUCAGCAUAGGAAGUCGGGUUUUAAACAAGUAUCGGAGUUGUCUCCUUCCUUCUACAGUUCAAGCUUUGAUAUGCGCGAGGAAUUGGCUACGCAACUUUGAAGAGAUUGGUAUGCUUCUGACUUCUUUUCUUUUGUCAUAUUUCAAUCAAUUUGAAUCUUAAUGCAUAUUGAGUUCUUCUUUUCUGUUGUACUUAGAUGAUAAUAUUGAGUUCCUUAAUGAAGACAAAGAUAGCGAGGGAGAACAAGAAGAAGUUUAAUUUUGCUUUUAAUUUGUUUUUGGAUUUGAUACUUUGUUGAAUACUUGAAUUGUGUUUAAAUUUGCUUUUGGAUUUGAUACUUAAAUCAUUUAAUACUUUGUUGUUUAAAUUUGCUUUUGGAUUUGAUAAUUGGAUUGAUUAUGAAGCAAAUACUAUUGGGUUAAAAUUUGGUUUUGUUAUGCCCAUUGGACAACUCAUUUGGGCAUGGUCUUUAAUGGGCAUGGGCUUCAGUGGACAUGGACACUAUUUGUCCAAUAUCGAAAUGGACAUUAUUGGACUGGGCUAAUGGACAUGGACAGCCCGUUUUGACAGCUCUAGAAAAAGCCAACAGAAGGAAAAGUACGGAGGAGGAAUCCCUGGCAUGAAUUCCAGAGAUUAGAAUAGAAUGUUGACUUCUAGAUUUUUCAUACAAAGCAAAUAGCAUUUCCUAUUGAUUUGUCUCCUGGACUGGUGGAACUAUUCUAAUUCUGAAUUAUUCGUCGCUAUGCUAUUCCCAAGGACUAGCAAAAUCGAAAUGGUGAAAUUUUUGGAUCAUCUCAAUGGGUUCAGAAACCACACGUUUCUCUGUAUCAUCAUAGCGUACUAUCAAAAAAGAAGUUGUUGGAUAAAGUAAACUUCCGCCUUGGACGAGCACGAGGCUUAGUCAAGUAGAAUCGGAUUACGCUGCUGGAUGCUCUGAUCGAAAACAAAUCAUGUGGUUCGUGGGGCACUUGAGUAAGCCGCCGACGCUCGAUUGUGUCUUGACCCCUAUCCAAUUUUUGGGCCAAUUCCCCCCUCGUGCUACCAAAAAAUGAGAUGGUGUUCAGGUUGCGAGUUGGAUCCAUCUUUUUAGAACUAGCCCAAAUUUUUUACUGACCUUAUGGAUUAAUCAGAUUUUUUUUUUUUUACGUGUAUUUGUGACAGGCUAUUGGUAUAUAUUGAAAACAUUAUUCCAAAAUGUAAAAAUGUUAAUAUUUGAUGAACAUUUGAAUAGUAAGAAAAUGAAAGAAUCUUAUAUUUAAAACAUCCAUACUGAACAAGUGGUAUACAAUUCUUUCCUAAGUAACUUAUGGU
RNAcentral lists this small RNA (1343 nucleotides) under Arabidopsis thaliana (thale cress). RNAcentral describes it as "ATSL172420". The record is from RNAcentral. Lineage: Eukaryota; Viridiplantae; Streptophyta; Magnoliopsida; Brassicales; Brassicaceae.